This 254-nucleotide ribosomal RNA is filed under the name uncultured bacterium. RNAcentral describes it as "partial 16S ribosomal RNA". It matches the Rfam family "Bacterial small subunit ribosomal RNA", at positions 524 to 776 of the family's 1533-position model. The record is from RNAcentral.
UACGGAGGGGGCUAGCGUUGUUCGGAAUUACUGGGCGUAAAGCGCACGUAGGCGGCUUUGUAAGUUAGAGGUGAAAGCCCGGGGCUCAACUCCGGAAUUGCCUUUAAAACUGCAUCGCUUGAAUCCAGGAGAGGUGAGGUGGAAUUCCGAGUGUAGAGGUGAAAUUCGUAGAUAUUACGGAAGAACACCAGUGGCGAAGGCGGCUCACUGGACUGGUAUGACGCUGAGGUACGAAAGCGUGGGGAGCAAACGGG